GUUUUCUACGAGGCAAAAAGCAUGUGAUAGAAAAGCAUGAACAGUAGGCAAGUGUCAACCAACUUUGAUUAAAGAGGCUUGUUACCACUAAAAGAUGUGUCCCUCCAGUGUGAAGCAUGUAAGCACAUAGGCAAGGAACAGCGUGUUACAGCUACAACCUCAAGUUGCCCAGAUGGUGCAUGUGUGUAAGUGGACACUCGUCAAGGACCAGAACGAGGCA
Long non-coding RNA from Asterias rubens (European starfish), 220 nucleotides. RefSeq lists it as uncharacterized. The record is from RefSeq and is a predicted model, not a curated record. Lineage: Eukaryota; Metazoa; Echinodermata; Asteroidea; Forcipulatida; Asteriidae. The transcript is spliced from 3 exons.